RNAcentral lists this ribosomal RNA (446 nucleotides) under uncultured bacterium. RNAcentral's name for it is "partial 16S ribosomal RNA". It matches the Rfam family "Bacterial small subunit ribosomal RNA", at positions 338 to 795 of the family's 1533-position model. The record is from RNAcentral.
CCUACGGGAGGCUGCAGUCGAGCAUCAUUCACAAUGGGGGAAACCCUGAUGGUGCGACGCCGCGUGGGGGAAUGAAGGUCUUCGGAUUGUAAACCCCUGUUAUGUGGGAGCAAAUUAAAAAGAUAGUACCACAAGAGGAAGAGACGACUAACUCUGUGCCAGCAGCCGCGUGAAUACAGAGGGCUCAAGCGUUGUUCGGAAUCACUGGGCGUAAAGCGUGCGUAGGCGGUUGCGGAAGUCGUGUGUGAAAGGCGCGGGCUCAACCCGCGGACGGCAACGGCUACUGCGAGACUUGAGUAAUGGAGGGGGAACCGGAAUUCUCGGUGUAGCAGUGAAAUGCGUAGAUAUCGAGAGGAACACUCGUGGCGAAGGCGGGUUCCUGGACAUUAACUGACGCUGAGGCACGAAGGCCAGGGGAGCGAAAGGGAUUAGAUACCCGGGUAGUC